RNAcentral lists this ribosomal RNA (443 nucleotides) under uncultured bacterium. RNAcentral's name for it is "partial 16S ribosomal RNA". It matches the Rfam family "Bacterial small subunit ribosomal RNA", at positions 338 to 795 of the family's 1533-position model. The record is from RNAcentral.
CCUACGGGAGGCAGCAGUGGGGAAUAUUGGACAAUGGGGGGAACCCUGAUCCAGCGACGCCGCGUGAGUGAAGAAGUAUUUCGGUAUGUAAAGCUCUAUCAGCAGGGAAGAAAGACAUGACGGUACCUGACUAAGAAGCCCCGGCUAACUACGUGCCAGCAGCCGCGGUAAUACGUAGGGGGCAAGCGUUAUCCGGAUUUACUGGGUGUAAAGGGAGCGUAGAUGGUGACGCAAGUCUGGAGUGAAAGGCGGGGGCCCAACCCCCGGACUGCUUUGGAAACUGUAUAACUGGAGUGCGGGAGAGGUAAGUGGAAUUCCUAGUGUAGCGGUGAAAUGCGUAGAUAUUAGGAGGAACACCAGUGGCGAAGGCGGCUUACUGGACUGUAACUGACGUUGAGGCUCGAAAGCGUGGGGAGCAAACAGGAUUAGAUACCCCAGUAGUC